Molecule: ribosomal RNA, 253 nt
Filed under: uncultured bacterium
Lineage: Bacteria
Description: partial 16S ribosomal RNA
Rfam family: Bacterial small subunit ribosomal RNA
Source: RNAcentral
UACGAGGGGGGCAAGCGUUGCUCGGAAUUUUUGGGCGUAAAGGGUGCGUAGGCGGUUUGGUAAGUCUUAUGUGAAAUCUACAGGCUCAACUUGUAGUCUGCAUGAGAAACUGCCGGGCUUGAGUAUGGGAGAGGUGAGUGGAAUUCCUGGUGUAGCGGUGAAAUGCGUAGAUAUCAGGAGGAACACCUGUGGCGAAAGCGGCUCACUGGACCAUAACUGACGCUGAUGCACGAAAGCUAGGGGAGCAAACGGG